Molecule: ribosomal RNA, 267 nt
Filed under: uncultured bacterium
Lineage: Bacteria
Description: partial 16S ribosomal RNA
Rfam family: Bacterial small subunit ribosomal RNA
Source: RNAcentral
UACGAAGGGGGCUAGCGUUGUUCGGAAUUACUGGGCGUAAAGGGCGCGUAGGCGGUACUUCAAGUCAGGCGUGAAAGCCCCGGGCUCAACCUGGGAACCGCGCUUGAGACUGGAGAACUAGAGUUCGGGAGAGGAUGGUGGAAUUCCCAGUGUAGGAGGUGAAAUUCGUAGAUAUUGGGAAGAACACCGAUGGCGAAGGCAGCCAUCUGGACCGACACUGACGCUGAGGCGCGAAAGCGUGGGGAGCAAACGGGAUUGAGAAACCCU